Molecule: small nuclear RNA, 104 nt
Organism: Mus spicilegus (steppe mouse)
Lineage: Eukaryota; Metazoa; Chordata; Mammalia; Rodentia; Muridae
Source: Ensembl
AUGCUCAUUUUGGUAGCACAUAUACAAAAAUUGGGACAUUACAAAAAUUAGCACCGCCCCUGUGCAAGGAUGACACAAAAAUCCAUGAAGCACUCCAUAUUUGG